UACGUAGGGUGCGAGCGUUAAUCGGAAUUACUGGGCGUAAAGCGUGCGCAGGCGGUUUUGUAAGUCAGAUGUGAAAUCCCCGGGCUUAGCCUGGGAAUGGCAUUUGGGACUGCAAGGCUGGAGUGUGGCAGAGGAGACUGGAAUUCCUGGUGUAGCAGUGAAAUGCGUAGAUAUCAGGAGGAAUACCGAUGGCGAAGGCAGGUCUCUGGGCUGACACUGACGCUCAUGCACGAAAGCGUGGGGAGCAAACAGG
Molecule: ribosomal RNA, 253 nt
Filed under: uncultured bacterium
Lineage: Bacteria
Description: partial 16S ribosomal RNA
Rfam family: Bacterial small subunit ribosomal RNA
Source: RNAcentral